UUUUUCCUAUAGUUGAACUUUGCUUCUUUUAAAUGAAAACUUUCUUCUUUCUGACCUGACAACACUUUUUGGUCUUUUGGGUUUCUAGGAGCUCUGUGGUCCUAGAUUCUUGCAGAGAAAUGUGGCAGCAAGCCAGACGCUCAGUUAGUUUGUUUUACACCAUCACCAUUAGGAAUUUUUUUUUUUUUGAGGACCUGACUGUGCGAGCUGUGUGUCUCACUAUUUUAAGAGCUUUGACACUGACGACAGUCAUUGACUGUCCUCAAGGGAUUGAAGUUUAAAUCAGACAAGUUUGAAACCAACAGAUAAAAGAAAACCCGGACAACAGAGCCAGUGUUGAACAAGGACAGAAAUAACAACGAUAGUGAUACAGGAAUCUUCAGGGGUGACAAGUAUCUGAAUUCCACUAAAUGUAUAGUUCAGAUCUUUCUUCUUGCCUAGCAUUCGGUAUUUCUAAUAACUUGAACCAACAAAGAUGCUAGUAACAGUUGCAUGGACUUCCUUUUACUGGCACUGAUUUUCAUGUGCCUCAGAAAUGAGGCACCAUUCAUUCCAUGUUAAAAAGGUGGAAAUACAAAGAAUUCUUAUCUUUAUUCCCUGAUAUUGUGUAGCUCCAUCAUACUAGCAGUCACUGCUAUAUCUUUUCUACCUAGCAUGCCCAAAUCAAAACCAAAUAAAAUAUCUUCCUGAGACUCUUCUUGUAAUUAUAUAAAUAAAAAAUACAUUUUUGUAAUUCCAGUUUCUGUUAAUGAUAGAAUAGCUCAAUCAUCCACAGGUAAUAAUGAUGAAAUCUGGACCAUUUGAAAGUUUGGAGAAUAACCAAAAGCAGGCAGAAACUGAAUAAAGCUAACCUUGAAAGACAAUGUCUGGCAUUCGUUCAUGGAUUUUUGCUGGAGGGCAUUCUUCAAUCUCGGAUCAAGGACCCAAACAGAAGGUGUCAGAAGAUGGAGUUCAUGAACAACCAGAAAAUUAGAGGGAAAACCAGUAAAAACAAAAACAAAAACCUAUACAAGUGAAGAAAUAGGAAAAUGUGAUACAUGUGAAAAAAAAUGUCAAUAGAAACAGACCCUGAGGUGACACAGAUACCACAAUUAGCAGGCAGUAACAUAAGGCAGUUAUUAUAAAUAUGUUCAGAUACCUAAAGGAGAUAAAUACAAUUCAUAUAUAAAGAAUUGCAGCCAAGAAAUAGAAACUAUAAAAAAGUCCAAAUGGAAAUCCAAAGCUGAAAAGUACAAUUAACUGGAAUGGCAAAUUUACUGAAUGAGCUUAAGAACGGGUCAGAGACAACAGAAGAAAGAAUCGGUGAACUAGAAGAUCAAUAGAAAUGAUCCAAUAUGAAGAACAGAAAGAAAAAAAAGAAAACACAUAUCUUAGAUAAGGGCAGGAAGUAAAAGUAGGGCAGGAUUGAAAUGCUCAGUGCUAAUAAAUUCUAGCAACUAAUUCUGCAAAGAAAAAAAUUUUUUUUUUUUAAAUUUUUUUUUUAAUUAUGAUAGUCACACACAGAGAGAGAGAGAGAGGCAGAGACACAGGCAGAGGGAGAAGCAGGCUCCAUGCACCGGGAGCCUGACGUGGGAUUCGAUCCCGGGUCUCCAGGAUCGCGCCCUGGGCCAAAGGCAGGCGCCAAACCGCUGCGCCACCCAGGGAUCCCUGAAAAAAAUUUUAAAUAAACGAACCCUGGAUUUUGAAUGUCUGAUCCAUGUAGUGUUUUUCUCAAGGGUGAGAGGGAGCAUAUUAUCUGAUUUCAAAGUGGUGUCUGUUGGCUUUCAUAAGAUUAGUCCUCUUAUGUGACCAUACGUUUCUUAGCUUUCUGUUCUCUUCUUCCUCUUUUUCUCCCCCCUUCCUUCCAGUGGUCAAUGGCCUUUUUCUUCUGUGGGCUAUAUUCAGAAAGCAGUUAAUUAUGAAAUGGAAGACAACUUAAGACAGUGGACUGAGGCAAAGGAAGCCUGUGAGAUAGGUCCUCACAUACCGUUUUCUUUUCUUUUCUUUUUUUUUUUUUUUUAAGAUUUAUUUAUUUAUCAGAGGGAGCUGAGGAGCAGAGGGGGAAGGAGAAAGAGUCCUAAGCAGACUCUACACCCAGCAUGGAGCUGGGCGCAGGGCUCAAUCUCACAAUCCUGAGAUCAUGACCUGAGCUGAAACCAAGAGUCUGACGCUUAACCAAUUGCGCCACCCAGGCACCCUAUGUACGGUUUUAUUCUUAAGUGGUGAACUCUCCUGCUAUAGUCCAUUUUAACUGUAAUUUUGAGCUCUUGAUAUUUCAAAUCAUAGUCCUUUCCUUACUUUUAAGCACUAAUCUUUCUUAAGAACCUAUGAUUACAAAAUACUAAAUGGUAUUUCAAAAUAGGCAUGUUUUAAUUAUUGACCCCUUUAGACACAGUUCUG
Nyctereutes procyonoides (raccoon dog) is the source of this 2379-nucleotide long non-coding RNA. RefSeq lists it as uncharacterized. The record is from RefSeq and is a predicted model, not a curated record. NCBI's taxonomy places the organism in Eukaryota, Metazoa, Chordata, Mammalia, Carnivora, Canidae. The transcript has 3 exons.